Molecule: ribosomal RNA, 447 nt
Filed under: uncultured bacterium
Lineage: Bacteria
Description: bacterial SSU rRNA
Rfam family: Bacterial small subunit ribosomal RNA
Source: RNAcentral
AGCGAACGCUGGCGGCAGGCCUAACACAUGCGAGUCGAACGCCCCUUCGGGGGAGUGGCGGACGGGUGAGUAACGCGUGGGAACGUGCCCUUUGGUACGGAACAACUGAGGGAAACUUCAGCUAAUACCGUAUGUGCCCUUCGGGGAAAGAUUUAUCGCCAUAGGAGCGGCCCGCGUUGGAUUAGCUAGUUGGUGGGGUAAAGGCCCACCAAGGCUACGAUCCAUAGCUGGUCUGAGAGGAUGAUCAGCCACACUGGGACUGAGACACGGCCCAGACUCCUACGGGAGGCAGCAGUGGGGAAUCUUGCGCAAUGGGCGAAAGCCUGACGCAGCCAUGCCGCGUGUAUGAUGAAGGUCUUAGGAUUGUAAAAUACUUUCACCGGGGAAGAUAAUGACGGUACCCGGAGAAGAAGCCCCGGCUAACUUCGUGCCAGCAGCCGCGGUAAU